GGAUGAGUCUGUUAAGGAUAUUCCUGUAAGGAAGAUGUGUAAUGUUUAUGACAGGAGGAAAAGGCUGUAAGUUUUUUUCUGAGACUCUCUGGAAGAAGUAGAAAAUACCUGGAUAUGUACAUCUGUGUUGGCUUCUCAAAUCACUGUUCAGCUCCUUCCCAAAUGAGCUCUGAAGAUGGAAAUCUAAACUCCUAAUGAAGCAGGCCAGCAGGUUGGAAGAAAGAUCAAAAAGCAUGUCUGGCAAUGUGACCGAUGGGCAGUACACUGGAGAUGAAAGACUCUGCAACUCCAGCCUCUUGGGAAGAGUCACUGAAAAGAAAGCAGAAGAUGGAUGGCCUGCGGAGGAGAGCUCCAGCAAAGCUAAUGAUGACCCUUGAGGACUGUGUGUGGAUAACAGAUGAUGCAGGAUUCCCUCCCGUAAGCAAGUGCA
RNAcentral lists this long non-coding RNA (430 nucleotides) under Taeniopygia guttata (zebra finch). RNAcentral's name for it is "lncRNA (ENSTGUG00000028156.1)". Lineage: Eukaryota; Metazoa; Chordata; Aves; Passeriformes; Estrildidae. The record is from RNAcentral.